Molecule: ribosomal RNA, 433 nt
Filed under: uncultured bacterium
Lineage: Bacteria
Description: partial 16S ribosomal RNA
Rfam family: Bacterial small subunit ribosomal RNA
Source: RNAcentral
AACGAACGCUGGCGGCAUGCCUAACACAUGCAAGUCGAACGAGACCUUCGGGUAUAGUGGCGCACGGGUGCGUAACGCGUGGGAACCUGCCCUUAGGUUCGGAAUAACUCCCCGAAAGGGGUGCUAAUACCGGAUAAUGUCUUCGGACCAAAGAUUUAUCGCCUUUGGAUGGGCCCGCGUUGGAUUAGCUAGUUGGUAGGGUAAAAGCCUACCAAGGCGACGAUCCAUAGCUGGUCUGAGAGGAUGAUCAGCCACACUGGGACUGAGACACGGCCCAGACUCCUACGGGAGGCAGCAGUGGGGAAUAUUGGACAGUGGGCGAAAGCCUGAUCCAGCAAUGCCGCGUGAGUGAUGAAGGCCUUAGGGUUGUAAAGCUCUUUUACCCGGGAUGAUAAUGACAGUACCGGGAGAAUAAGCUCCGGCUAACUCCGUG